Molecule: transfer RNA, 94 nt
Filed under: Desulfallas thermosapovorans DSM 6562
Lineage: Bacteria; Bacillati; Bacillota; Clostridia; Eubacteriales; Desulfallaceae
Description: tRNA-Ser
Rfam family: tRNA
About the family: Transfer RNA (tRNA) molecules are approximately 80 nucleotides in length. Their secondary structure includes four short double-helical elements and three loops (D, anti-codon, and T loops). Further hydrogen bonds mediate the characteristic L-shaped molecular structure. tRNAs have two regions of fundamental functional importance: the anti-codon, which is responsible for specific mRNA codon recognition, and the 3' end, to which the tRNAs corresponding amino acid is attached (by aminoacyl-tRNA synthetases). tRNAs cope with the degeneracy of the genetic code in two manners: having more than one tRNA (with a specific anti-codon) for a particular amino acid; and 'wobble' base-pairing, i.e. permitting non-standard base-pairing at the 3rd anti-codon position.
Source: RNAcentral
GGAGAGAUGGCUGAGCUGGUCGAAGGCGCUCGACUCGAAAUCGAGUAGACCGUUAGUAGCGGUCUCGUGGGUUCGAAUCCCACUCUCUCCGCCA